This 465-nucleotide ribosomal RNA is filed under the name Vreelandella stevensii. Its description in RNAcentral is "partial 16S ribosomal RNA". It matches the Rfam family "Bacterial small subunit ribosomal RNA", at positions 338 to 795 of the family's 1533-position model. Lineage: Bacteria; Pseudomonadati; Pseudomonadota; Gammaproteobacteria; Oceanospirillales; Halomonadaceae. The record is from RNAcentral.
CCUACGGGUGGCUGCAGUGGGGAAUAUUGGACAAUGGGGGGAACCCUGAUCCAGCCAUGCCGCGUGUGUGAAGAAGGCCCUCGGGUUGUAAAGCACUUUCAGUGAUGAAGAACGCCUGGUGGUUAAUACCCAUCAGGAAAGACAUCACUCACAGAAGAAGCACCGGCUAACUCCGUGCCAGCAGCCGCGGUAAUACGGAGGGUGCGAGCGUUAAUCGGAAUUACUGGGCGUAAAGCGCGCGUAGGUGGCUUGAUAAGCCGGUUGUGAAAGCCCCGGGCUCAACCUGGGAACGGCAUCCGGAACUGUCAAGCUAGAGUGCAGGAGAGGAAGGUAGAAUUCCCGGUGUAGCGGUGAAAUGCGUAGAGAUCGGGAGGAAUACCGGUGGCGAAGGCGGCCUUCUGGACUGACACUGACACUGAGGUGCGAAAGCGUGGGUAGCGAACAGGAUUAGAUACCCUGGUAGUC